Molecule: long non-coding RNA, 2858 nt
Filed under: Mus musculus (house mouse)
Lineage: Eukaryota; Metazoa; Chordata; Mammalia; Rodentia; Muridae
Description: predicted gene, 49970
Source: RNAcentral
ACCCGCCCGCGGAGUCCCAGCCGCCGGGAGCUGAGCCGAGCGAGCGAGCGGGCGGGCAGUGUGGCCUGCAGCCGAAAGCAGGCGGUUCCCUUCCUUGUGGUCGCAGUCCCUCCUCCUCUUCCCUGGUGUGUCGGCUCCGGGAAGCUCAGGUAGGGACCGCCGCCCGGGAGAGCCUGCCCACAGCCUCUAAGCUGAGAUUCUCCAAGGAGAAGUAAGGGAUCCUGGCUGUAGCAUGAGCGGCACACACAGGCUCCUGCAAGGUCCUAGAGUGGCCUUGUGCUCAAGCCCUCUCCUUGACAACUUUUAAACGGCCAGCACGCUGCUGCUGAGGAAACUCACUAAGGCAAAAGGCAUGCUUGCAGUCUUGGCUGCUGCAGAAGGGCUCACUAUCCCUAAAGCAGAGCGAGUGUUCGUACUUACACCCCAGUGAGUAUGAGCUGGGGCUGUGCUCUGCUGACCACUUAGAAGCGUGGCUUCCCAUUCUGACCAGCCUUGAAGGGUAGAGCAGGACUGCAGAGGCAGACCUUCCCCAGACAAACACACACUUCUGACAUGCUCAUGAUACUGCUGGAAAACUAUGACGAAGGCUCUGGUGGAGAUUCAAAAAGAAACUAACUUCUAAAAUGUACACCCCUGUUCUCACCUGGAAGAGGACUUUACUGAGCAGGGCUGUGAUAAACAAAACUGGUGUUUAUUUAACAAGUCCCGGAGUACCUCGUGUUCCCUUAGAUCCGUGGUCAGUCUAUUUGUAGGGCACACACCGCUCAGUCAGAAAACUUGGAAUCCAUGUCUGGAAAAGUUUCAGUGUCUUUGAAAAUUCUAAACUGAUAACUAAGAACACUUGGCCAUGAAGAGGAAGCCCUGGCUACAAAAUUUCUCCUUCAGGCCCAAAGAUUUAGAAAAAAAAGAAUUCAAUUUACUGAGGGUCCUCCCAGCAGAGAUAAACAACAAAGGGACCUUGUUUUAGAAGGCAGUUUACAAGGACACUGGGAUGGGGGAGGGGCCCUGCACUGAUCACUUCACGUGACCCUGCUCAAUCGCAUCUCGGGUUUCAGAUUUGGAAGUGGAGCUCCCAAGAAGGUAUACAUUUGCGUAAAGCAGAAACGGCAGUAUAGAAUUAGACCGCUCAAAAGCUGGGGUUUUUCUUUUCUACAGUCACCACUCCUGCACUGAGAUAUCCACUAACAAUCUACAACAUGCUAAGCCCAUGCUACAGACACAAUGAAGAGCCUGCGCCUUUAAAGGGCUCUGGAUGUGCUGUAUGCAAUGAUACAAUGUGGCAACAAGAAAUCCGGGACAGGAGGAGCACCUAACCUAGUUCUGAAGGGUGGAACCUGGGAUUAGGACACUGCACCCCUCCUUACAGCUAUCCUGGGAGCUUUACCACAGCAGCCAGGGAGAAUGUGUGUUAGGAUGGAGAGGGGACUGGAGGGAAAUGAUGUCAGACUGGCAGAAUUUAGUCAGAACUGGGGUGAAGAAAAAUGGUCAAUUAGAGAUAAAAAUCAUGGUCUCAACUUCAGUGGUACUCUAUGAAUUGGAGAAUUCAAUUUUAGACAAAACUGCUUUUGAAAUAACUCUUACAGAAACAUACAGUGUCCAAAAAGCAGCUGGCAUACUAACUGACAGCUCAGGAAAUGUCUAAGGUCAGUAUGUAAUAACUGUGUACUUCUACUGAAAGGAGUGGGGACAAGAGUCCAGGAAGAAUGCUCCAGGAGGACCACCCACAGGACAGGUAACAUUUAAGGCACGGUGGUAGAAGAAGCAAUGCUUAGGAGGUGAAUAAGCAAGGGACAGGGCAGCCACAGAGGACAGAAGAGAAGCACUGUGGAUGGCCCAGCCAAAGGUAGAAUCCUUCAGAAAGCAAACAGAUACUUUGGAAGUGUUCUCUUGACAGGUUUAGUGCACACAUCUGUAAUCCCAGCACUAGGAAGGCAGAAGCAGGAGGGUCAAGAGUUCAAGGUUAGCCUUGGAUGCACAUGAGUUUGAUGCCAGCUGGACUACAUAAACGCCUAUCCCAAAUAGCAACAACAAACACGGCCUCUCACUGAACAACGCGAAGCACUGCUAAGAACCGCGUCUGUGGACUGGUGGAAUGAAGACGCCGCAGGGCAUAGUACCAUAGUUUCAGGAAUCAAACUGGAAAGAGAUGUAUAAACACAACAAGAGCUACAAGUAAGGAAAGAUGUGAAAGGAAAGAACGGCUCAGAAGCAGAGAAAGAGGAGCUUCCUAAGCAAGAGGAAAAGGGAGCACAUGAGUGCACACGUGAGUACACACACACACACACACACACACACACACACACACACUGAGGUGAGGGCACAGGACAGACUGAGAAUGUACACUGAUUUCCUAGAAGAGGAGAUGGCUAGAAGGGGUGGGAACUAGAGGACUUGUCAUCAACAUCAGCAAACUCCAGCCAAGGGACACAAAAUGACUGAAGCAUAUGGAAAGCAUAGGAAGUUAAAUGAACAUCAGAGGCCAUGCCUUGAAAGAGUAACAAACCCACACAACCACAAUUUUUCUUCAACAGUAUCAGUGUUCUAUCCAGAGGAGCACAAAUUCUGCCAUUACACUACCAUCACCAAGCCAUACAUCUGGGUCACUCAGCUGCAGGAGGCUUAACAUGAAAGUAUGUGAUGUUUAUAAGUGAGCUUCUAGCAACUUCAAACAGGCAGGUUCCUGACUUGGAAAAACUGGUUUGAUUAAGCCCUCAGGAGCAUAAUGCAAGGAAAAUGCCAAGGAUGGCUCUCAUGUAUCUCUAUAAUACUUCCAGAACCAUACUCGGAUGAGAAAAACAUAGAAAUAUAUAGUUUAUGAAACAAAUUUCUAGCUUUUUGAUAAAGUCUCAGACUUGGUG